This 618-nucleotide ribosomal RNA is filed under the name Helicoma intermedium. RNAcentral's name for it is "eukaryotic LSU rRNA". It matches the Rfam family "Eukaryotic large subunit ribosomal RNA", at positions 21 to 656 of the family's 3401-position model. The record is from RNAcentral. Lineage: Eukaryota; Fungi; Ascomycota; Dothideomycetes; Tubeufiales; Tubeufiaceae.
AUACCCGCUGAACUUAAGCAUAUCAAUAAGCGGAGGAAAAGAAACCAACAGGGAUUGCCUCAGUAACGGCGAGUGAAGCGGCAAUAGCUCAAAUUUGAAAUCUGGCUCUUUCAGAGUCCGAGUUGUAAUUUGUAGAGGAUGCUUCGGCUUACGUCUCGGUCUAAGUUCCUUGGAACAGGACGUCACAGAGGGUGAGAAUCCCGUUUGUGGCCGCGACUUCCGCCAUGUGAAGCUCCUUCGACGAGUCGAGUUGUUUGGGAAUGCAGCUCUAAAUGGGAGGUAUAUUUCUUCUAAAGCUAAAUACCGGCCAGAGACCGAUAGCGCACAAGUAGAGUGAUCGAAAGAUGAAAAGCACUUUGGAAAGAGAGUUAAAAAGUACGUGAAAUUGUUGAAAGGGAAGCGCUUGCGACCAGACUUGCCCGCGGAUGCUCAACCGGUCCUUCGGCCGGUGCACUCUUCCGCGGUCAGGCCAGCAUCAGUUCGAGCAGUCGGAUAAAGGCCUUGGGAAUGUGGCUCUCUUCGGGGAGUGUUAUAGCCCUAGGUGCAAUACGGCUUGCCUGGACUGAGGCCCGCGCUUCGGCUAGGAUGCUGGCGUAAUGGUCGUAAGCGGCCGUCUUG